AUAGCUCAGCUGGAUAGAGCAACGGCCUUCUAAGCCGUAGGUCAUACGUUCGAAUCGUAUU
Molecule: transfer RNA, 61 nt
Filed under: Thiotrichales bacterium
Lineage: Bacteria; Pseudomonadati; Pseudomonadota; Gammaproteobacteria; Thiotrichales
Description: tRNA-Arg
Rfam family: tRNA
About the family: Transfer RNA (tRNA) molecules are approximately 80 nucleotides in length. Their secondary structure includes four short double-helical elements and three loops (D, anti-codon, and T loops).
Source: RNAcentral